UGCUGCUGUAACUGUAGUAUAUUAUCUCUGUUUUCACCACAGAUUUCAUGAAUCAUUUUGCUUCCAUAGCAGCAGGGUCUCCUGACAUGGUCUCAUGUAAUAGCCAUACGGCUAUUUUAUCUCCAAAAGAUAAUGUUGGUGUAUGGAAAUUAUAGUCAUCCACAUCAUGCCACUGUCACAUUUUGCUUCGAUACUCAGCCACCGGUAGGCCCAAAGUUUGCAGAAUAAUAUCCAACAUCAUCCUGUGAGGUAUUUUCACCAUCGGUGGAGCACCCUGUAGGCCAAUAACCAAGCUCGCCAUAAUCCGCUGACAGAUGCAAAUUGCAUUGACACAAACUGGAGCCCACGCAAGUGCCAAAAGUAGCACGUGUGUAUGGCAAAGCUUCGAGAACAUCCAGUAUUCCCGUUGAGAGCAUGAGCAGAUCCAUGUCCGAGCCUCCACCGUUGUAAUCUGGUAUCCCAUUCUCAUCCUUGUCAGACCUUUGUCUUCCCAAAAUCAAAUUUGUCCUGAACCAAAACAGAAAGAAUUCGAUUCAUUUACUUUUAGCAACAUGUAACAGAAAGCCUACUAAAUCUUCCUUUGGUGGAAUCUGCACUUUCAUCUACCCAGAAAGGAACAAUUUUGCACAAUAAAGAACACAGACGUCAAGGACUAAUAUAAAUGAAGUGAGAUCUUCGUUCCAAAAA
Non-coding RNA from Aegilops tauschii subsp. strangulata, 687 nucleotides. The record is from RefSeq and is a predicted model, not a curated record. NCBI's taxonomy places the organism in Eukaryota, Viridiplantae, Streptophyta, Magnoliopsida, Poales, Poaceae.